Molecule: microRNA precursor, 73 nt
Filed under: Tursiops truncatus (common bottlenose dolphin)
Lineage: Eukaryota; Metazoa; Chordata; Mammalia; Artiodactyla; Delphinidae
Description: miRNA (ENSTTRG00000025140.1)
Source: RNAcentral
GCUGGCCAAAAAGUUCGUUUGGGUUUUUCCAUACCAUGUUAUGGAAAAACCCAAACAAACUUUUUGGACAACC